AGAGAGGAUUCCUACAUGGAGUGGGAGACUGAAAUAAUAACCUCAAAGAUGCCUUCCAAUCAGAAGAUUUGGUGAUUCUUUCUGAGUUAUCAAACUGCCUUCCUUUGACCUUGCUCACAUGUAGAAAUCCAAGUCAGCGCAGCUUAACUUGGACUCACCACCUAUCAAGUGCUCGACAGCCACGUGUGCAGUGGUUCCUACGUGGAGCAGCAUACAUCCAGAGAUGCAAAUAUUAAUGAGGACAGUGCUAGUAACAGAGUUGCUGAGCAAUCUAUGUCCCCUUGUAAGAACCAGUGCCCCAGGGGAAGAAACAGAACUCCACAAGGUAGCAGUGUGGGUGUAGUACCCGCAUGUGCCCAUGUUAUGGGAAUGUAGAUGGGGAGUGACCACCGCCAACAGAAGUGUGGCCAUCUUGCCCGAGAUGCCUGAGGACCUCCUAUUUUUAGAUGCUGCUGCCCAAGGCCUGUAUUUCAUGCUAUGGCUUUUGUCAUUUGAAUUAUCAGUAGCUGUCUCGGAGCUAUUACGCUUCACUGGGCCCUGGAGGAUAUUGUCUUAUACAGUCCACUGGGUUUUGGAUAUGCAGUCUGUGCCUUUCAUUGCCUUCCUGGAAAAUAAUAACUAAACUCUUCCUCACCA
Molecule: long non-coding RNA, 636 nt
Filed under: Homo sapiens (human)
Lineage: Eukaryota; Metazoa; Chordata; Mammalia; Primates; Hominidae
Description: PARP11 antisense RNA 1, transcript variant 2 (PARP11-AS1)
Source: RNAcentral